GGCGGCGGUCAUAGCAGUAGGGAAACGCCCGGACCCAUCCCGAACCCGGAAGCUAAGCCUACCCGCGCCGAUGGUACUGCAACCGAGGGGUUGUGGGAGAGUAGGAAACCGCCGCAC
This is a ribosomal RNA of Mobiluncus mulieris ATCC 35239, 117 nucleotides long. NCBI's taxonomy places the organism in Bacteria, Bacillati, Actinomycetota, Actinomycetes, Actinomycetales, Actinomycetaceae. The record is from Rfam.